UGGUAGGAUAGAGGCCUACNNUGGUGGUAACGGGUAACGGGGUGUUAGGGCACGACACCGGAGAGGGAGCCUGUGAAACGGCUACCACAUCCAAGGAUGGCAGCAGGCGCGCAAAUUACCCAAUCCCGACACGGGGAGGUAGUGACAAUAAAUAACAAUACGGGGUUCUUUAGGAUCUCGUAAUUGGAAUGAGUACAAUUUAAAUCUCUUAACGAGGAACAAUUGGAGGGCAAGUCUGGUGCCAGCAGCCGCGGUAAUUCCAGCUCCAAUAGCGUAUAUUAAAGUUGUUGCAGUUAAAAAGCUCGUAGUUGAAUUUCGGGGUUAGUAGGUUGGUCAUGCCUCUGGUAUGUACUGGUCUCACUGAUUCCUCCUUCCUUAUGAACCGUAAUGCCAUUAAUUUGGUGUUGCGGGGAAUUUGGACUGUUACUUUGAAAAAAUUAGAGUGUUUAAAGCAAGCUAACGCUUGAAUACAUUAGCAUGGAAUAAUGAAAUAGGACGUUCGAUCUUAUUUUGUUGGUUUCUAGGAUUGACGUAAUGAUUAAUAGGGAUAGUUGGGGGCAUUAGUAUUCAAUUGUCAGAGGUGAAAUUCUUGGAUUUAUUGAAGACUAACUACUGCGAAAGCAUUUGCCAAGGAUGUUUUCAUUAAUCAAGAACGAAAGUUAGGGGAUCGAAGACGAUCAGAUACCGUCGUAGUCUUAACCAUAAACUAUGCCGACUAGGGAUCGGAUGA
This 730-nucleotide ribosomal RNA is filed under the name uncultured fungus. RNAcentral's name for it is "SSU rRNA". It matches the Rfam family "Eukaryotic small subunit ribosomal RNA", at positions 326 to 1060 of the family's 1831-position model. The record is from RNAcentral. Lineage: Eukaryota; Fungi.